RNAcentral lists this transfer RNA (67 nucleotides) under marine eukaryotic metagenome. It matches the Rfam family "tRNA". Rfam says of the family: Transfer RNA (tRNA) molecules are approximately 80 nucleotides in length. Their secondary structure includes four short double-helical elements and three loops (D, anti-codon, and T loops). The record is from RNAcentral.
GGCUUAGCUCAGUUGGUAGAGCACCUGAUUUGUAAUCAGGGGGUCGGGGGUUCGAAUCCUCCAGCCG